Molecule: ribosomal RNA, 468 nt
Filed under: uncultured bacterium
Lineage: Bacteria
Description: partial 16S ribosomal RNA
Rfam family: Bacterial small subunit ribosomal RNA
Source: RNAcentral
GACGAACGCUGGCGGCGUGCUUAACACAUGCAAGUCGAACGGAAAGGCCCUGCUUUUGUUGGGUGCUCGAGUGGCGAACGCGUGUGUAACACGUGAGUAACCUGCCCUUAACUGUCGGAUAACUUCAGGAAACUGGGGCUAAUAUCCGAUAGGAGCUCCUGCUGCAUGGUGGGGGUUGGAAAGUUUCGGCGGUGGGGGCUGGACUCGCGGCUUAUCAGCUUGUUUGGGGGGUAGUGGCUGACCAAGGCUUUGACGGGUACCCGGCCUGAGCGGGUGACCGGCGACCUUGGGACUGAGGGAAGGCCGAGACACCGAAGGGUGGCAGCAGUGGGGAAGACUGAAGAAGGGGCGGAAGCUGGAUGAAGCAGCUCUGCGGGCGGGAUAACGGCCUUCGGGGUGUAAAACGCUUGUGCCAGUGACGAAGCGUGAGUUAAGGGAAUGGGUACAGAAGCACCGGCUAACUUCGGG